RNAcentral lists this ribosomal RNA (515 nucleotides) under uncultured bacterium. RNAcentral's name for it is "partial 16S ribosomal RNA". It matches the Rfam family "Bacterial small subunit ribosomal RNA", at positions 28 to 523 of the family's 1533-position model. The record is from RNAcentral.
GAUGAACGCUGGCGGCGUGCCUAAUACAUGCAAGUCGAGCGAGUGGAUUAAGAGCUUGCUCUUAUGAAGUUAGCGGCGGACGGGUGAGUAACACGUGGGUAACCUGCCCAUAAGACUGGGAUAACUCCGGGAAACCGGGGCUAAUACCGGAUAACAUUUUGAACCGCAUGGUUCGAAAUUGAAAGGCGGCUUCGGCUGUCACUUAUGGAUGGACCCGCGUCGCAUUAGCUAGUUGGUGAGGUAACGGCUCACCAAGGCAACGAUGCGUAGCCGACCUGAGAGGGUGAUCGGCCACACGGGGACUGAGACCCGGCCCAGACUCCUACGGGAGGCAGCAGUAGGGAAUCUUCCGCAAUGGACGAAAGUCUGACGGAGCAACGCCGCGUGAGUGAUGAAGGCUUUCGGGUCGUAAAACUCUGUUGUUAGGGAAGAACAAGUGCUAGUUGUAUAAGCUGGCACCUUGACGGUACCUAACCAGAAAGCCACGGCUAACUACGUGCCAGCCGCCGCGGUAA